This 1917-nucleotide long non-coding RNA is filed under the name Apteryx haastii (Great spotted kiwi). Its description in RNAcentral is "lncRNA (ENSAHAG00000016579.1)". The record is from RNAcentral. Lineage: Eukaryota; Metazoa; Chordata; Aves; Apterygiformes; Apterygidae.
AUGAUGGAGCAAAAUGAUGGCAAGAGGACUGAUAUUGCAAAUGGGAAAUAUAUUUUCAGUUUGCAAUCUCCAAGCCAUUUAAUGGGACAGUUAAGAGUAGGACCACCUUUCUUUCCUACAUAUCUAGUUAGUCAAUGCCUACUAGCUGAUUGGGAGCUUUUUGCUUCUACUGGCUUCAUCACCUUUAUAUUGGAAAGACAAAUUAUUCAAGCUGCUUUUUUCUUUUGGCAUUAGGCAUAGCCUGAGGUCAGUUAAAAUGCUGCCAGCCAAGCAUAUUUAAUCCAGGUAUGAGACUUAGCAUUCCAAAUGUGAAAAGAAAUAAUUUACAGCUGCUCAGAUUUUCCUUUCUCCUUGUUCUGUUAGAUCUAAUGAGAUGAAAUUUAGUCAUUCUUUUCCAAAUCAUAAAAACAGUUUAGAAAGUAUUAGCAUAUGAAAGCUUGAUCCACUAUGUUCAACACACAUUUGUCAGGAAUGAUAUCACUGUAGCUGAUCUGACCUAGGGAAAGGAGAUGAGCUAGGGGGACUCCUGAGCUCCACCUUUACCCAUGACUCUCUGAUUCCAAAUGAAGGUCAUUGCUGUUUGCGCCAGGAUUGUUCCCGAGCCUUCAGAUCUUCUAACUGCAGGCUGUCUUUAAAUGCAUUUGGCUCAAGCCACAGUAGCCCAAAAGGCAGGGCUUUGUAGGCUGCAGUGGUCACUGUAAUGUUGUUUAUGUUAACACCCAGCUUGGAAUAUUUUUAAAGACUGUAAGUAACUAGGUUGGUGCUCCCAUUCAACCUGCUUUAGAUAUAUCUCCUGUGACAAAAUGUACUCACCUGGGUUCAUUUUUUCCCCUCAGUAAUCAAUAUACACAAAGCAUACGAGUAAGUUCCACAUGUGGGUGACUGAGCAUGGCUCUCCUUGUGAAACAGAGAUUUCUGUGUGCGGUGAUUUCUUGCAGCCCAAACAGAAGGAUGUCUGAGUGAGCUGCAUCACCUCAGCCACCUGAAUCCUGACAGCCAGUCCAAGAAGUAACAGUACGGUGUUACUUACACUAAAAAUACUAUAUACAGAAAGGACUUGAGAUUUCAAAUGCUCUGAGCUUUUUCAGUAUCUGCAAACCCAAAGUAGUAAAAGUAAAGUAAUACUUUUUACCCAAACUGAAUGGACUGUUAAUGAUGCAAAGGCUUAUGUAAGUACCAUAGCUCUGUGGUGAUUCCACUGGAAAAUUCUUGUCAGAUUUAGUGCCCAAGAUACUAGGUGCCAAACUAGCACAUGGGGAAAGAUAAUCCCAGUCCCAAGCGCUUCACAAUAUCCUGUAACUUAAUUAAAAACAAAAGAUGCCAGCAACAUACAUCGUGUAAAUUGAAAACAGACUUUAGUAGCCUACAGUGCAAAUACUGACUUCAGGGUAGCAUCUGGGACAUCUCCUACACAGAAGGUAAGGUCAUUGGCUAGGCAUUGUACAUAUAUAUUAUUGGGUAAUACUUAUCAGAUAUAGAAAUGACUAUUAUGUACUAUGUUAUCUACUAAGUCUUGUUUUUCCUCUAGUAUAAACUAAAAACUACAUAACAAGGUGUAGAAAAAAGUGUGGAAGAAGGGGCAGUUCUCACUUGAGGGCAGUCAUUUCCUGUGAGAAACCCAACAUAACAGUGAUAUCCGAAUUUAAAGGUGCAAGGCCAAGCAAAAAACAGCACAAGAAUAACAGCAUGAGAAUGACACUGGAAAAAUAUUGCCACAGCAGCUUAGGAGAAAGAUUACAGAGCUGAGUUAAAGAAAGACUACAGAAUUGCAAAUGAGAGGUCCUUAGCAUUACAAAGGUUAAGGCGCUGUGCGACAUGGGGAACUUUAAGAAUGUGAUGGGAGAGUUAUUAUACUUCAAAGAAAGAAAGAAAGACAAGAUCAGUAGGAAAAUAAAUAGACUACUCAGCAGCUUGACA